GAUGAACGCUGGCGGCGUGCCUAAUACAUGCAAGUCGAGCGAACAGACGAGGAGCUUGCUCCUCUGACGUUAGCGGCGGACGGGUGAGUAAAACGUGGAUAACCUACCUAUAAGACUGGGAUAACUUCGGGAAACCGGAGCUAAUACCGGAUAAUAUAUUGAACAGCAUGGUUCAAUAGUGAAAGACGGUUUUGCUGUCACUUAUAGAUGGAUCCGCGCCGCAUUAGCUAGUUGGUAAGGUAACGGCUUACCAAGGCAACGAUGCGUAGCCGACCUGAGAGGGUGAUCGGCCACACUGGAACUGAGACACGGUCCAGACUCCUACGGGAGGCAGCAGUAGGGAAUCUUCCGCAAUGGGCGAAAGCCUGACGGAGCAACGCCGCGUGAGUGAUGAAGGUCUUCGGAUCGUAAAACUCUGUUAUUAGGGAAGAACAAAUGUGUAAGUAACUAUGCACGUCUUGACGGUACCUAAUGAGAAAGCCACGGCUAACUACGUG
This 497-nucleotide ribosomal RNA is filed under the name uncultured bacterium. RNAcentral's name for it is "partial 16S ribosomal RNA". It matches the Rfam family "Bacterial small subunit ribosomal RNA", at positions 28 to 507 of the family's 1533-position model. The record is from RNAcentral.